Neofelis nebulosa (Clouded leopard) is the source of this 907-nucleotide long non-coding RNA. RefSeq lists it as uncharacterized. NCBI's taxonomy places the organism in Eukaryota, Metazoa, Chordata, Mammalia, Carnivora, Felidae. The transcript has 3 exons. The record is from RefSeq and is a predicted model, not a curated record.
CCAGGGGGGGGGCCAGGAGCGCGGUGGAGGCGCUUGGUCACGCCCCGUGCACUCUGCUCAGAGAAAGACAGCCAUGGGACUGGAGACUAGGGCAGGGUCCUAGAGGGAAAGUGGCAGGUUUCUGAGCCAGGAGAGAUGCUUUCGUCGGGAAGAACCCAUCAGAGACACCGUCCAGGCCAAGGAAGCAUCGAGCAGGGGCUCAGCCCUGCUGGGCCUCCCUGAGGAUGAUGACAGGAGGGGCUCCUUCGGAAGGGGAAAUUUGGGCAGGGACACGCACUCAGGGAGAACACCAUGGGAGGGUGAAGAGUGGGACUUGAACUUCCAGCCUCCGGACAUGGGAGACAACACAAAGAAAAGAAAGAAACUGUGGCGACCAGUUCUCAGCAUCUCCUGAAUCAGUCAAAUGAGAAAUAGACUGGAAGCAGCCACCUGGGAGGGCAGCAGAAUCUCCAAGAAGACGACCACCACGAAGUUUGUGUGGUGGCAGGCGGAGGUCAAGCCUCCCACCUCGGCCCCAGGCUGCCCCACCUCGUGGGUCUCUCUGGGACAGACAGAAAGACAGGACGUCUGCACGCUGCCCCCAGAGGGCGGCAUUCCAUACCCAUGCCCUCAUUUCACUUGGAAGUGGCCCCAGGAAGUAUUAUUAUUGUCUCCAUAUCACAGAUGAGGAAACUGAGGCCCAACUGUUUACCCGUGGCCAAGGAGCAGCCUCCUGCGGAGAGGUGGAGCCAGGUCCCCCAAAUGUGCCUUUUCCAUUGUGACCCCAUUUAACGUUCUUCAGCCGGACGCGGGCCAAGGCUUAAAGCCCUUCACUCAGUGGCUCUCCUUGGAUAUCCUGUGUCCUUCUGGUAGCCCCUGUGACCUCGGACGGGCCACGCGGCUCAUAUCCCUUUUGGCCCAUAGAUGC